UACGUAGGGUGCGAGCGUUAAUCGGAAUUACUGGGCGUAAAGCGUGCGCAGGCGGUUCGUUGUGUCGGCGGUGAAAGCCCCGGGCUUAACCUGGGAAUGGCCGUUGAAACUGGCGAACUGGAGUGUGGCAGAGGGGGGUGGAAUUCCGCGUGUAGCAGUGAAAUGCGUAGAGAUGCGGAGGAACACCGAUGGCGAAGGCAGCCCCCUGGGCUAACACUGACGCUCAGGCACGAAAGCGUGGGGAGCAAACAGG
This 253-nucleotide ribosomal RNA is filed under the name uncultured bacterium. Its description in RNAcentral is "partial 16S ribosomal RNA". It matches the Rfam family "Bacterial small subunit ribosomal RNA", at positions 524 to 776 of the family's 1533-position model. The record is from RNAcentral.